AGCCCCGUGGUGUAGCAUACAUAUUGGAUUGCAAAUCCAAAGACGCAGAUUGACCGUCUGCCGGGGCUU
Molecule: transfer RNA, 69 nt
Filed under: Cobitis elongatoides
Lineage: Eukaryota; Metazoa; Chordata; Actinopteri; Cypriniformes; Cobitidae
Description: tRNA-Cys
Rfam family: tRNA
About the family: Transfer RNA (tRNA) molecules are approximately 80 nucleotides in length. Their secondary structure includes four short double-helical elements and three loops (D, anti-codon, and T loops).
Source: RNAcentral